CAGAGGGUGCAAGCGUUAAUCGGAAUUACUGGGCGUAAAGCGCGCGUAGGUGGUUUGUUAAGUUGAAUGUGAAAUCCCCGGGCUCAACCUGGGAACUGCAUCCAAAACUGGCAAGCUAGAGUAUGGUAGAGGGUAGUGGAAUUUCCUGUGUAGCGGUGAAAUGCGUAGAUAUAGGAAGGAACACCAGUGGCGAAGGCGACUACCUGGACUGAUACUGACACUGAGGUGCGAAAGCGUGGGGAGCAAACAGGAUU
Molecule: ribosomal RNA, 254 nt
Filed under: uncultured bacterium
Lineage: Bacteria
Description: partial 16S ribosomal RNA
Rfam family: Bacterial small subunit ribosomal RNA
Source: RNAcentral